This 874-nucleotide ribosomal RNA is filed under the name uncultured archaeon. Its description in RNAcentral is "bacterial SSU rRNA". It matches the Rfam family "Archaeal small subunit ribosomal RNA", at positions 1 to 879 of the family's 1478-position model. The record is from RNAcentral.
UCCGGUUGAUCCUGCCAGAGGCUACUGCUAUCGGGGUUCGAUUAAGCCAUGCGAGUUAAAUGUUCUUCGUGAACAUAGCGAACUGCUCAGUAACACGUGGAUAACCUACCCUUAGGACCGGAAUAACCCCGGGAAACUGGGGAUAAUACCGGAUAAGCCAUAGACGCUGGAAUGCCCUAUGGUUCAAAGCUCCGGCGCCUAAGGAUGGAUCUGCGGUCUAUCAGGUUGUAGUGGGUGUAACGUACCUACUAGCCGACGACGGAUACGGGUUGUGAGAGCAAGAGCCCGGAGAUGGAUUCUGAGACACGAAUCCAGGCCCUACGGGGUGCAGCAGGCGCGAACACUUGACAAUGCGGGAAACCGCGAUAAGGGAACCCCGAGUGCCAGCAUCAAAUGUUGGCUGUCCAGAUGAUUAAAAAUCAUUUGUUAGCAAGGGCCGGGCAAGACCGGUGCCAGCCGCCGCGGUAACACCGGCGGCCCGAGUGGUAGCCGUUUUUAUUGGGUCUAAAGGGUCCGUAGCCGGCCUGAUAAGUCCUUUGGGAAAUCUGGCAGCUUAACUGUCAGGCUUCUAAGGGAUACUGUCAGGCUUGGGACCGGAAGAGGUAAGGGGUACUCCAGGGGUAGGAGUGAAAUCUUGUAAUCCCUGGGGGACCAUCUGUGGCGAAGGCGCCUUACCAGAACGGGUCCGACGGUGAGGGACGAAAGCUAGGGGAGCAAACCGGAUUAGAUACCCGGGUAGUCCUAGCUGUAAACGAUGCUCGCUAGGUGUCAGACACGGUGCGACCGUGUUUGGUGCCGCAGGGAAGCCGUUAAGCGAGCCACCUGGGAAGUACGGUCGCAAGGCUGAAACUUAAAGGAAUUGGCGGGGGAGCAC